UCUCCAAAGCGGUCCAUGUCUUCCUGCACAUAACAAUAUGAUCCACUUAGAAGCAUAGCCGUGUUUAUUUUUAUGUAACUUAUGGACUAAGGCAUCAUCAUGGCAUCCAAAAUGCAGCUGGAUUAGAAGAAAUUCCUUUUAAACAACAAAAUUCUGAUACAAUAAUAAGAAAUAAAUCUGAUAUUUUUCUAUUGGCAGGGGCACAUCAAUAUAUCAUAGAAAAAAGCAUGUCAAUAUAUUUUUAAGAACUAGAGAAAGCACUCUUAUAAUUCAUUUUGGCAAAUUAUGUCAUAGGCGUACCUGCUAUAUGAUUUCUUUACUUAGUUAUAUUUUUAUAUCAGGAUACGUAAAACAAGUAUACCAGCAUGUUGGAAGAUGAUGCAAAACCUCCUGUCCCCUCCGGACCAUAGAUCAUCAAGCCUUUUGAAACACUGUUAACAUGCUGCAAACUG
This 452-nucleotide unclassified non-coding RNA is filed under the name Hevea brasiliensis (rubber tree). The record is from RNAcentral. Lineage: Eukaryota; Viridiplantae; Streptophyta; Magnoliopsida; Malpighiales; Euphorbiaceae.